GCCAGGUACAGUGGCACGUGCCUGUAGUCCCAGCUACUCAGGAGGCUGAGGUGGGAGGAUCGCUUGAGCCCAGGAGUUCUGGGCUGUAUUGCACUGUGCCAAUCAGGUGUCCACACUAAGUUUGACAUCAAUAUGGUGACCUCCCGAGAGCAGGGACCACCAGGUUGCCUAAGGAGGGCUGAACCGGCCCAGGUCGGAAAUGGAGCAGGUCAAAACUCCCAUGCUGAUCAGUAGUGGGAUCUCGCCUGUGAAUAGCCACUGCAUUCCAGCCUGAGCAACAUAGUGAGACCCCAUCUCU
Molecule: signal recognition particle RNA, 298 nt
Filed under: Cebus imitator (Panamanian white-faced capuchin)
Lineage: Eukaryota; Metazoa; Chordata; Mammalia; Primates; Cebidae
Description: Metazoan signal recognition particle RNA (ENSCCAG00000004725.1)
Rfam family: Metazoan signal recognition particle RNA
About the family: The signal recognition particle (SRP) is a universally conserved ribonucleoprotein. It is involved in the co-translational targeting of proteins to membranes.
Source: RNAcentral